AACGAACGCUGGCGGCAUGCCUAACACAUGCAAGUCGAACGAGACCUUCGGGUCUAGUGGCGCACGGGUGCGUAACGCGUGGGAACCUGCCCUUAGGUUCGGAAUAACUCCCCGAAAGGGGUGCUAAUACCGGAUAAUGUCUUCGGACCAAAGAUUUAUCGCCUUUGGAUGGGCCCGCGUUGGAUUAGCUAGUUGGUAGGGUAAAAGCCUACCAAGGCGACGAUCCAUAGCUGGUCUGAGAGGAUGAUCAGCCACACUGGGACUGAGACACGGCCCAGACUCCUACGGGAGGCAGCAGUGGGGAAUAUUGGACAAUGGGCGCAAGCCUGAUCCAGCCAUGCCGCGUGAGUGAUGAAGGCCUUAGGGUUGUAAAGCUCUUUUACCCGGGAUGAUAAUGACAGUACCGGGAGAAUAAGCUCCGGCUAACUCCGUG
Molecule: ribosomal RNA, 433 nt
Filed under: uncultured bacterium
Lineage: Bacteria
Description: partial 16S ribosomal RNA
Rfam family: Bacterial small subunit ribosomal RNA
Source: RNAcentral